Molecule: long non-coding RNA, 202 nt
Filed under: Vigna radiata
Lineage: Eukaryota; Viridiplantae; Streptophyta; Magnoliopsida; Fabales; Fabaceae
Description: long non-coding RNA (VRAD_LNC015023)
Source: RNAcentral
UCUCGGUUGUCAAACAUCUUUAGCCUCACUGACCCAACUCCUUGCACUCGGCAAGCUUUAUUGUUUCCAAGAAGCACAUUUCCAUGCUCUUUCUGAUCAAGAUUCUCAAAAAACUCCUUCACCGGGCACAUGUGAUAGGUGCAGCCAGAAUCCAUGACCCAGCUCCUUUGAGAAUCUUCAGACAAAGCCACCAGAACUCCAG